CAAUCUGCCCUGUACUUCGGGAUAAGCCCUGGAAACGGGGUCUAAUACCGGAUAGGACACUGUCUCGCAUGGGGUGGUGUGGAAAGCUUCGGCGGUACGGGAUGAGCCCGCGGCCUAUCAGCUUGUUGGUGGGGUGAUGGCCUACCAAGGCGACGACGGGUAGCCGGCCUGAGAGGGUGACCGGCCACACUGGGACUGAGACACGGCCCAGACUCCUACGGGAGGCAGCAGUGGGGAAUAUUGCACAAUGGGCGGAAGCCUGAUGCAGCGACGCCGCGUGAGGGAUGACGGCCUUCGGGUUGUAAACCUCUUUCGCCCGGGACGAAGCGUAAAAGUGACGGUACCGGGAGAAGAAGCACCGGCUAACUACGUGCCAGCAGCCGCGGUAAUACGUAGGGUGCGAGCGUUGUCCGGAAUUAUUGGGCGUAAAGAGCUCGUAGGCGGUGUGUCACGUCUGCCGUGAAAACCUGCGGCUUAACCGUGGGCGUGCGGUGGAUACGGGCAUCACUUGAGUUCGGCAGGGGAGACUGGAAUUCCUGGUGUAGCGGUGGAAUGCGCAGAUAUCAGGAGGAACACCGGUGGCGAAGGCGGGUCUCUGGGCCGAUACUGACGCUGAGGAGCGAAAGCGUGGGGAGCGAACAGGAUUAGAUACCCUGGUAGUCCACGCCGUAAACGUUGGGCGCUAGGUGUGGGGACGCUGUUCACGUGUCCCGUGCCGUAGCUAACGCAU
Molecule: ribosomal RNA, 730 nt
Filed under: Saccharomonospora sp. 41394
Lineage: Bacteria; Bacillati; Actinomycetota; Actinomycetes; Pseudonocardiales; Pseudonocardiaceae
Description: bacterial SSU rRNA
Rfam family: Bacterial small subunit ribosomal RNA
Source: RNAcentral